GACAGAGGUGCCGAGCGUUAGGCGGAAUCACUGGGCUUAAAGCGUGUGUAGGCGGACUUCUAAGUACCUUGUGAAAUCCCACGGCUCAACCGUGGAACUGCUUGGUAUACUGGUUGUCUUGAGCCACUUAGGGGCAGUCGGAACAGACGGUGGAGCGGUGAAAUGCGUAGAUAUCGUCUGGAACGCCAAAGGUGAAAACAGGCUGCUGGGGUUGCGCCGACGCUGAGACACGAAAGCCAGGGGAGCAAACGGG
RNAcentral lists this ribosomal RNA (253 nucleotides) under uncultured bacterium. Its description in RNAcentral is "partial 16S ribosomal RNA". It matches the Rfam family "Bacterial small subunit ribosomal RNA", at positions 524 to 776 of the family's 1533-position model. The record is from RNAcentral.